Pelobates cultripes (western spadefoot toad) is the source of this 252-nucleotide non-coding RNA. The record is from the annotation of a GenBank genome assembly. Lineage: Eukaryota; Metazoa; Chordata; Amphibia; Anura; Pelobatidae.
GAGAGGGGGUGACUAGUGACCGAGUGAGGGAGGGAGUGGGUGACUAGUGACAGAGUGAGGAAGGGGGUGACACAGUGAUAGUCACCCCAUUCCUCCCUCUGUCACUAAUCACCACCUCCCUCACUCUCACUAGUCACCCUUCCCUCCCUCACUCUGUCACUAGUCACACCCUCCCUCUCUCUGUCACUAGUCACACCCUUACUGUCACUAGUCACACCCUUACUCACUGUCACUAGUCACACCCUCCCUCUC